Long non-coding RNA from Zophobas morio, 385 nucleotides. RefSeq lists it as uncharacterized. The record is from RefSeq and is a predicted model, not a curated record. The transcript is spliced from 2 exons. Lineage: Eukaryota; Metazoa; Arthropoda; Insecta; Coleoptera; Tenebrionidae.
AUUCAGAUCAGGAAUGUUCAUAACAGAACUCAUUUUAUUAUAUCAAAUGAAAUAAAUAAAAAUAGCAAUGGAAAAUUCUAAUCAUGUUAAUGUGAGAAAAUAUUAUGUUCAGCAACUGUUCACAAGCUCUUUCAAAUUUUAAAAGUGGAAAAAUUUUCAAUGCAAUGUCCGAUAUUUGUUUCACAACCCCUACAAAACGAGAAUUCGGAUAAGUUAGUCCCCCACGAUCUUGUAAAAAAAUUAAUUUUAAGAGAGGUCCAGGAAGUUCAAAUGAUAAUAGCGGAGAAAGACAGUCAUCACAGUGAAAUUUGUCAUCUAAUUUUUUUAUAAUGUACCCUGCUAAAAAGGGACAGAAGCGGAAUAAAUAUCUGCACGUUGUUCAAUA